GUUAUCACCAACUGUGAACUCGUUUUCAACACAUCUCCUUGAUUGAAUGAGCGCAUGAAUCGUGUCGCAAGAUACGAUUGUAGCGUUUGAUCAGUCGAGCAAACAACAACAAAUUAACAAAUUUCACCCCCUUUUUGCUAGUUGACUUUUAUAUGUUGUACGAAUUACAAAGACUUCAUUGUCUCUGCAGCUCGCACACACGUUUAUCUAUUUGAACGUUAAAAUUACAACUCUUAGCAAUGGAUAUCUUGGUUCUCGCAACAAUGAAGAACGCAGCGAAAUGCGAUACGUAAUGCGAAUUGCAGAAUUCAGUGAAUCAUCAAAUCUUUGAACGCAAAUUGCGCUCUUGGGUAGCCCUAGGAGCACGCCUCUCUCAGUAUCGGUUCAACAACCUCUCAGCAGCGUAUUCAUUUACGCGUUGGCUGGAUAAUGAGAGUCUGAGUCUUCGCGCUCAGUCUCUUGAAAUACAUCGAGCGAGUAUCAUCACAUGCCUACGCAUUUGUCAGAAUUUAUUCUGACAAGCCAAGUCUCUGACUGGUCUGCACAAGUAGCGAGUGACGUGAAUACUGACCCUUGUGGUCUCACAUUUACGUGUAACUUCUCUUGGGCUGGACAAUCUAUAAAGGUCUAGGACUUCGGUGUCGUUUGGGAGCAGGUGUACUCGCGUUAAGCGGCGCAAGCUGCAAUCGGCUUUACUACUUUCGGGUAAUGGAGUCUGAAUUUUGAUCUGAGAUGAAGCGAGACAACCCCCUGAAUUUAAGCAUAUUAAUAAGGGGAGGAAAAGAAACUAACAAGGAUUCCCCCAGUAACGGCGAGUGAAGCGGGAAGAGCUCAAUUUGAAAAUCGUCUACCUAAGCGGGUCGACGAGUUGUAGCCUAGAGACGUACUAUCAGCUGAAACCUGGGUAUAAGUUCUUUGG
Molecule: ribosomal RNA, 919 nt
Filed under: uncultured fungus
Lineage: Eukaryota; Fungi
Description: eukaryotic LSU rRNA
Rfam family: 5.8S ribosomal RNA (bases 229-382)
Source: RNAcentral